GGCGACCGGCGCACGGGUGAGUAACACGUGUGCAACCAACCCCGUACCGGGAGAUAACCCGCGGAAACGUGGACUAACAUCCCAUGAGACUCUAGAGCCGCAUGGCUCUAGAUUUAAAAUUCCGGUGGUACGGGACGGGCACGCGCGACAUUAGGUAGUUGGCGGGGUAACGGCCCACCAAGCCGACGAUGUCUAGGGGUUCUGAGAGGAAGGUCCCCCACACUGGAACUGAGACACGGUCCAGACUCCUACGGGAGGCAGCAGUGAGGAAUAUUGGUCAAUGGGCGAGAGCCUGAACCAGCCAAGUCGCGUGAGGGAAGAAUGGUCUAUGGCCUGUAAACCUCUUUUGUCAAGGAAGAAUAAGGAUGACGAGUCAUUCGAUGCCAGUACUUGACGAAUAAGCAUCGGCUAACUCCGUGCCAGCAGCCGCGGUAAUACGGGGGAUGCGAGCGUUAUCCGGAUUUAUUGGGUUUAAAGGGCGCGUAGGCGGGACGGCAAGUCAGCGGUAAAAGACUGCAGCUAAACUGUAGCACGCCGUUGAAACUGUUGACCUCGAGACGAGACGAGGGAGGCGGAACAAGUGAAGUAGCGGUGAAAUGCAUAGAUAUCACUUGGAACCCCGAUAGCGAAGGCAGCUUCCCAGGCUCGUUCUGACGCUGAUGCGCGAGAGCGUGGGUAGCGAACAGGAUUAGAUACCCUGGUAGUCCACGCCGUAAACGAUGCUCACUGGAUCUUGGCGAUACACGGCCAGGGUUCAAGCGAAAGUAUUAAGUGAGCCACCUGGGGAGUACGUCGGCAACGAUGAAACUCAAAGGAAUUGACGGGGGCCCGCACAAGCGGAGGAACAUGUGGUUUAAUUCGAUGAUACGCGAGGAACCUUACCCGGGUUUAAAUGUAGAUUGCAUGAGGUGGAAACACUUCUUCCCUUCGGGGCUAUUUACAAGGUGCUGCAUGGUUGUCGUCAGCUCGUGCCGUGAGGUGUCGGGUUAAGUCCCAUAACGAGCGCAACCCCUAUCGCCAGUUGCCAUCGGUUCAAGCCGGGCACUCUGUCGAGACUGCCACCGUAAGGUGCGAGGAAGGCGGGGAUGACGUCAAAUCAGCACGGCCCUUACACCCGGGGCGACACACGUGUUACAAUGGCCGGUACAGAGGGCAGCCACGGGGUGACCCGGAGCGAAUCUCUAAAGCCGGUCGUAGUUCGGACUGGAGUCUGCAACCCGACUCCACGAAGUUGGAUUCGCUAGUAAUCGCGCAUCAGCCAUGGCGCGGU
RNAcentral lists this ribosomal RNA (1270 nucleotides) under human gut metagenome. RNAcentral describes it as "bacterial SSU rRNA". It matches the Rfam family "Bacterial small subunit ribosomal RNA", at positions 90 to 1363 of the family's 1533-position model. The record is from RNAcentral.